AUGAACGCUGGCGGCUUGCCUAAUUCAUGCAAGUCGAUCGAACGGACGAGAAUCUUUCUUCUCUGAUGUUAGCGGCGGACGGGUGAGUAACACGUGGAUAACCUACCUAUAAGACUGGGAUAACUUUGGGAAACCGGAGCUAAUACCGGAUAAUAUUUUGAACCGCAUGGUUCAAAAGUGAAAGACGGUCUUGCUGUCACUUAUAGAUGGAUCCGCGCUGCAUUAGCUAGUUGGUAAGGUAACGGCUUACCAAGGCAACGAUGCAUAGCCGACCUGAGUGGGUGAUCGGCCACACAGAAUAUGAGACACGCUCCACACUCCUACGAGAGCCAUCAGUAGGGAAUUUUCCGCUUGGGGCGUAAGCCUGACGGAGCAGCGCCGCGUGAGUGAUGAAGGUCUUCGGAUCUUAGAACUUUGUUAUUAGGGAACAACAAAUGUGUAAGUAACUGUGCACAUCUUGACAGUGCCUAAUCAGAAAGCCACGGCUAACUACGUG
RNAcentral lists this ribosomal RNA (496 nucleotides) under uncultured bacterium. RNAcentral describes it as "partial 16S ribosomal RNA". It matches the Rfam family "Bacterial small subunit ribosomal RNA", at positions 29 to 507 of the family's 1533-position model. The record is from RNAcentral.